RNAcentral lists this ribosomal RNA (440 nucleotides) under uncultured Syntrophus sp. RNAcentral describes it as "bacterial SSU rRNA". It matches the Rfam family "Bacterial small subunit ribosomal RNA", at positions 941 to 1382 of the family's 1533-position model. The record is from RNAcentral. Lineage: Bacteria; Pseudomonadati; Thermodesulfobacteriota; Syntrophia; Syntrophales; Syntrophaceae.
GUGGUUUAAUUCGAAGCAACGCGAAGAACCUUACCUGGGCUUGACAUCCCGGGAAUCCCUUGGAAACAGGGAGUGCCCUUCGGGGAACCUGGAGACAGGUGCUGCAUUGGCUGUCGUCAGCUCGUGUCGUGAGAUGUAGGGUUAAGUCCCGCAACGAGCGCAACCCUUGCUUUAAUUGCCAUCAUUGAGUUGGGCACUUUAAAGAGACUGCCGGUGUUAAACCGGAGGAAGGUGGGAUGACGUCAAGUCCUCAUGGCCUUUAUGUCUAGGGCUACACACGUGCUACAAUGGGUGGUACAAAGAGCAGCUAACUCGCGAGAGUAUGCAAAUCUCAAAAAGCCAUCCUCAGUUCGGAUUGGAGUCUGCAACUCGACUCCAUGAAGUUGGAAUCGCUAGUAAUCGCGGAUCAGCAUGCCGCGGUGAAUACGUUCCCGGGCCUU